RNAcentral lists this ribosomal RNA (461 nucleotides) under uncultured Bacteroidota bacterium. Its description in RNAcentral is "uncultured Bacteroidetes bacterium partial 16S ribosomal RNA". The record is from RNAcentral. Lineage: Bacteria; Pseudomonadati; Bacteroidota.
GACUACAGGGGUAUCUAAUCCUGUUCGCUACCCACACUUUCGUGCCUCAGCGUCAAUCUAAGUCUAGUCAGCUGCCUUCGCAAUUGGUGUUCUAUGACAUAUCUAAGCAUUUCACCGCUACAUGUCUCAUUCCGCCAACCUCAACUCGAUUCAAGUCUUACAGUAUCAAUGGACCUCUUAUAGUUGAGCUACAACCUUUUACCACUGACUUAUAAAACCGCCUACGCACCCUUUAAACCCAGUGAUUCCGGAUAACGCUUGCACCCUCCGUAUUACCGCGGCUGCUGGCACGGAGUUAGCCGGUGCUUAUUCCUCAGGUACCGUCAGUACUAUAUCGCGUAUAGCAUUUUCUUCCCUGUUAAAAGCAGUUUACAACCCAGAGGGCUUUCAUCCUGCACGCGGCAUGGCUGGUUCAGAGUUCCCUCCAUUGACCAAUAUUCCUUACUGCAGCCCCCCGUAGG